UCUCCCUCUUUUCUCCUCCCUUUCCACCUUCAAUCCAGAAGAGUCUCUCUCUCUCUCUCUCUGCAUACCCCCUCCUCCCAAAAGAAAAACAAAAAUGAAUAGGAAUAGGAAUGGCCAUGGUGGUGGACCCGGACCCGGGGAGGGAUCCGGGGCAGAGCUCUUAAUCAACACAGCCGAAUACUUCCUCCGGAACCGCAACUUGGACGGUUGCCGGAAAUAUGCAGUCCAAGCCCAAGAGUCAAACCCUACCGCCGCCGCCCAGAUUCUGGCCGUGGUGGACGUCCUGGCUGCUGCCACCACCCGCUUUAACAACAACAACAACAACCGACCCGACUGGUACUCAAUUUUGGGAGUGAAACGUUACUCGGAAGACUUACAACUCCUCAGAAACCAGUAUAAGAAGCUCAUUCUACUCUUAAACCCUAACAAGAACAACUCCCCCUUCGCUCUCGAAGCUUUCGACCUCGUCCGCCAUGCUUGGACACUCUUGUCCAACCCUUUAAAGAAGAAUCAGUUCGACAAUGAGCUUCGAAUGUUCUUCGAUUCUCAGACCAAAACCAAACAACCACUUGACAAGAUGAAGAAGCAGAAGACGAAGACGAAGACGAAGACGGAGAGUAGUAGUAAUAGUACUCCUAUGGAGGGAGGACAAUGUGGCUCAGACUCAGAUACAUUCUGGACCGUCUGCCCUUACUGUUACUAUGUCUAUGAGUAUGUUAGGGUUUAUGAGGAUUGUUGUUUGAGGUGCCAGAACCACACCUGUAUGAGAGCUUUUCAUGCCGUGGCUAUUCGGUCUCCACCCCCGCCCGCUGUUGUGAGGAAUGGUGAGUACUGGUGUUUGGGGUUUAAUCCAAUUGGGUUUCAGAAUGGAGGAGGAGACAAAGGGAAAGGGUUUUCAUCAUGGAUGCCGUUCACGCCAAUGUUCACGGCAACUCCUCAUGAGGAGGAGGAGGAGGUGGUGGUGGUCAACAAGAAUUCUGUGCCUCCUCAGGGUGGCAAUGAAUCUAAUAUAGGCAAUAACAGCGAUAAUUCAAGUGAUGAUGAACUCUUGGGUAAAACUGAGGAGAAUGCUAGUGGUAAGAAUUUGCAAACAGAGCAAGUGAAGAAGGGGGUUGAGAGCUUUGAUGGGUGUACAAGAAAAACUUAUCAUCAUAGAGAGGUACCUAGCCCUAGCCCUAGCCCUAGCCCUAGUGUUGCGAAGCCAGUGAUGAAGAGGAAGAAAUCAGUGGCCAGGAAUACCAAAAAGAUUAUGGGCAAAGGGACCAGAAUUAAGAAAGAUGAGACCAUUCCUGAGCACGUGGAAGGAUCGGACUGGGAUACAGAUGAUGCCAGUAAAGAUUACGAGGAUUUUGGUUCUGGGAUUGCUGAAGGGAUGGAGACGCUAGGAAGUAGUAGGGGUCAAUCUGGUACUGGUAUGGAUGGAUUGCAGUUUUUUGAUGGAGAGGAUGAUGAUAUCUUUGUGGGUCUGCAAGAUGGUUUCUUCUGAUGUGGGAAAUCCAAGGCAUAUGCAGGCAUGAAGCAACUAUGGAUUAGUAGAAGUUGAUGCUGAAGAGUUAUCACAUGUUCCAUUGAUCUCAAGUACAUAGCUCUUUUGUACGUAGGAGUGCACUGAAUUAUGCAAGGCCUCUUGCUAACAUCAGUGGAACCAGCUCAGAUAAGCUCAUUAUCCAUGUACAUGUCCUUUCUUUUUGUCUUUCAGAGUACAAUAUGUAUGCGUUCAAAAAAACAAAAAAGAGUACAAUAUGUAUGACGAACUUGUGAAAUCAAUGAGUCACGCUCCAAGAAAAACAUGUUAAGGAGCCUAUUAGAAGUGCUAAUCUUGAAAAAAAAUAUAUACAGAAAAAAAGAAACGUAAAGAUGGGCCUUUUGUGAGUUUUCUGUA
Molecule: RNA transcript, 1882 nt
Organism: Camellia sinensis
Lineage: Eukaryota; Viridiplantae; Streptophyta; Magnoliopsida; Ericales; Theaceae
Source: RefSeq, a predicted model, not a curated record